RNAcentral lists this ribosomal RNA (438 nucleotides) under uncultured bacterium. RNAcentral describes it as "partial 16S ribosomal RNA". It matches the Rfam family "Bacterial small subunit ribosomal RNA", at positions 339 to 795 of the family's 1533-position model. The record is from RNAcentral.
CUACGGGGCGCUGCAGUGGGGAAUAUUGCACAAUGGGGGAAACCCUGAUGCAGCGACGCCGCGUGAACGAUGAAGUAUUUCGGUAUGUAAAGUUCUAUCAGCAGGGAAGAUAAUGACGGUACCUGACUAAGAAGCACCGGCUAAAUACGUGCCAGCAGCCGCGGUAAUAAGUAUGGUGCAAGCGCUAUCCGGAUUUACUGGGUGUAAAGGGUGCGUAGGUGGUAUGGCAAGUCAGAAGUGAAAGCACGGGGCUCAACCCCGUAACUGCUUUUGAAACUGUCAGACUAGGGUGCAGGAGGGAAAGCGGAAUUCCUAGUGUAGCGGUGAAAUGCGUAGAUAUUAGGAGGAACACCAGUGGCGAAGGCGGCUUUCUGGACUGUAACUGACACUGAGGCACGAAAGCGUGGGGAGCAAACAGGAUUAGAUACCCCGGUAGUC